UAAAGCUUUGUCUGGGUAGACAC
This 23-nucleotide non-coding RNA is filed under the name Cricetulus griseus (Chinese hamster). The record is from RNAcentral. Lineage: Eukaryota; Metazoa; Chordata; Mammalia; Rodentia; Cricetidae.